Long non-coding RNA from Piliocolobus tephrosceles (Ugandan red Colobus), 791 nucleotides. RefSeq lists it as uncharacterized. Lineage: Eukaryota; Metazoa; Chordata; Mammalia; Primates; Cercopithecidae. The transcript is spliced from 3 exons. The record is from RefSeq and is a predicted model, not a curated record.
CCGGCUCAGAGAGUUCUCCACUGCUCCUCCCAGGCUCACGAGGCUCACAGGCUACCCAACGCCAGCGGCCCAGGAGGCUGGACCACAGGCCUUGGUCCCGACUUCUCCCUGCUGCUCGGCACGAGACCCUCCCCCAGGACAGCCACCUCCUGGUGCUGAAGAGCUGGCCCUCCGCAGAGCUGCCCGCAGAACCGCCCGCCGUUCCUUUUUCCUAUGCAUAUACUUCUUUGAGGGUCUGGCCUAAAGAGAAGCUGCACUGUGUGGGGCCCACGUUUUACACAAGUGGGAGGCAGAGGGCCCAGGCGCAGACGGCAGCGAGGCGUGGCGGAGGACGCGUGCACUCUGGGUGUGCGCGCUUUUGCUGCUGUUUUUUUUGAGACAGAGUCUCGCUCUGUCGCCCAGGCUGGAGUGCAGUAGCGGGAUCUCCACUAGCUGCAACCUCCAUCUCCCGGGUUUAAGCGACUUUCCUGCUUCAGCCUCCCAAGUAGCUGAGACUACAGGCGCCUGCCACCACGCCUGGCUAAUUUUUGUAUUUUUAGUAGAGAUGGGGUUUCACCUUGUUAGGCUGGUCUUGAACUCCUGACCUCGUAAUCUACCUGCCUCGGCCUCCCAAAGUACUGGGAUUACAGGCGUGAGCCACCGCGCCCAGCCGGCGUUUGCUUAACACCUUUAUUGCUUUUGUAAUCACGGGUAUGAGUUGAUUUUCUGGUCAGAGAUGUCAGUAGAGCUAAUUUCAUUUAAAUGUGUGAGGUGUGGUAAAGUUUUGACAAUAAAUGCAAAUUUUGAUAAAG